CAGUGAUAACGCUGAACUUAUUUUACAGAGGAAACAUAAACCUGUGUCUCGCUAAUGGGAGGAAUACUAUCAUUGUUUAUUAUGGUUUUCCGUCUUUAUAUUCGCUUAUGGGUGUUGAGGGAAUCGCCGAAGGGAGGACAAAUUGACGCAAAUAUUUCGAUGUUUCCAAACGACAGUAACAAUCGCUAUAAGUAGUAAAACGUUGAUUUCCCUUCCCAGCUGGUCCUCGUUGCCGUCGUUGCGGUCACAGUCGCCGCCCGCCCCUCCGACCCCUACGGACCGCCCCCUCCUGCUUACCCUGAUACCCCAGCCGAGUACCAGUUCAGUUAUGGAGUGAAGGACGACUACUCCAAGAACGACUACGGGCACUCGGAAGACCGCAGCGGCUACAACACCCAGGGACAAUAUCAGGUCCUGUUACCCGACGGCCGCGUGCAGACGGUGGAGUACUCGGUCACAAAGGACGGAGGUUUCGUCGCUAAUGUCGUGGCCAAGGGAGUCAGUGCCUACAGUUAAAUGUUCUCUGGUCCUAUAGUGUACAUGUGAAUGUGUUUUUGUUUUUUUUACUGUGUAUGUAAAUAAAUGUGAUUUAUAAA
Molecule: long non-coding RNA, 596 nt
Organism: Penaeus chinensis
Lineage: Eukaryota; Metazoa; Arthropoda; Malacostraca; Decapoda; Penaeidae
Exons: 3
Source: RefSeq, a predicted model, not a curated record